This 497-nucleotide ribosomal RNA is filed under the name uncultured bacterium. RNAcentral's name for it is "partial 16S ribosomal RNA". It matches the Rfam family "Bacterial small subunit ribosomal RNA", at positions 28 to 507 of the family's 1533-position model. The record is from RNAcentral.
GAUGAACGCUGGCGGCGUGCCUAAUACAUGCAAGUCGAGCGAACAGACGAGGAGCUUGCUCCUCUGACGUUAGCGGCGGACGGGUGAGUAACACGUGGAUAACCUACCUAUAAGACUGGGAUAACUUCGGGAAACCGGAGCUAAUACCGGAUAAUAUAUUGAACCGCAUGGUUCAAUAGUGAAAGACGGUUUUGCUGUCACUUAUAGCUGGAUCCGCGCCGCAUUAGCUAGUUGGUAAGGUAACGGCUUACCAAGGCAACGAUGCGUAGCCGACCUGAGAGGGGGAUCGGCCACACUGGAACUGAGACACGGUCCAGACUCCUACGGGAGGCAGCAGUAGGGAAUCUGCCGCAAUGGGCGAAAGCCUGACGGAGCAACGCCGCGUGAGUGAUGAAGGUCUUCGGAUCGUAAAACUCUGUUAUUAGGGAAGAACAAAUGUGUAAGUAACUAUGCACGUCUUGACGGUACCUAAUCAGAAAGCCACGGCUAACUACGUG